GUGCUUGCUUUGGCAGCACAUAUGCUAAAAUUGGAAUGAUACAGAGAUUAGCAUGGCCCCUGCCCUAGGAUGACACGCAAAUUCGUGAAGUGUUGCAUAUUUUU
RNAcentral lists this small nuclear RNA (104 nucleotides) under Ursus maritimus (polar bear). Lineage: Eukaryota; Metazoa; Chordata; Mammalia; Carnivora; Ursidae. The record is from RNAcentral.